GUUGAUCCUGCCGGACCCGACUGCUAUUUGGGUGAGAAUAAGCCAUGCGAGUUGAAUGGGAUACCUAAAGUUCCCAUAGCAAACUGCUCAGUAACACAUGAUCAACUUACCCUAUAGAGAAAAAUAACCUCGGGAAACUGAGGAUAAUGUUUCACAAUUGAAUUGGCUUGGAAAAGUUUUUCAAUGAAAAGGAUAAAAAAAAUGGUUUUUAUCUGCUAUAGGAUAGGAUCGUGUUCGAUUAUGGUUGUUGGUGAGAUAAUGGCUCACCAAGCCGAUAAUCGAUAGGGGCCGUGAGAGCGGGAGCCCCGAGAUGGGUACUGAGACAACGACCCAGGCCUUACGAGGCGCAGCAGGCGCGGAACCUCCGCAAUACACGAAAGUGUGACGGGGUUACCCAAAGUGUUCAAUAGAACUGUGGUAGGUGAGUAAUGUCCCCUACUAGAAAGGAGAGGGCAAGGCUGGUGCCAGCCGCCGCGGUAAAACCAGCUCUUCAAGUGGUCAGGAUAAUUAUUGGGCUUAAAGUGUCCGUAGCCGGUUUAGUAAGUUCCUGGUAAAAUCGGGUAGCUUAACUAUCUGCAUGCUAGGAAUACUGCUAUACUAGAGGGCGGGAGAGGUCUGAGGUACUACAGGGGUAGGGGUGAAAUCUUAUAAUCCUUGUAGGACCACCAGUGGCGAAGGCGUCAGACUGGAACGCGCCUGACGGUGAGGGACGAAAGCCAGGGGAGCGGACCGGAUUAGAUACCCGGGUAGUCCUGGCCGUAAACGAUGCAUACUAGGUGAUGGUACGGCCAUGAGCCGUAUCAGUGCCGUAGGGAAACCGUUAAGUGUGCCGCCUGGGAAGUACGGUCGCAAGGCUAAAACUUAAAGGAAUUGGCGGGGGAGCACCACAAGGGGUGAAGCCUGCGGGUUCAAUUGGAUUCAACGCCGGAAAAUCACUAGUGCGGCCGCCU
Molecule: ribosomal RNA, 950 nt
Filed under: uncultured archaeon
Lineage: Archaea
Description: bacterial SSU rRNA
Rfam family: Archaeal small subunit ribosomal RNA
Source: RNAcentral